RNAcentral lists this ribosomal RNA (432 nucleotides) under uncultured bacterium. Its description in RNAcentral is "bacterial SSU rRNA". It matches the Rfam family "Bacterial small subunit ribosomal RNA", at positions 338 to 787 of the family's 1533-position model. The record is from RNAcentral.
CCUACGGGGGGCAGCAGUGGGGGAUAUUGCACAAUGGGGGAAACCCUGAUGCAGCGACGCCGCGUGUGGGAAGACGGUCUUCUGGAUUGUAAACCACUGUCCCCAGGGACGAAAAUGACGGUACCUGGGGAGGAAGCUCCGGCUAACUACGUGCCAGCAGCCGCGGUAAUACGUAGGGAGCAAGCGUUGUCCGGAAUUACUGGGUGUAAAGGGAGCGUAGGCGGGGAUGCAAGUUGGGUGUCAAAACUACCGGCUCAACCGAUAGUCGCACUCAAAACUGCAGCUCUUGAGUGAAGUAGAGGCAGGCGGAAUUCCUAGUGUAGCGGUGAAAUGCGUAGAUAUUAGGAGGAACACCAGUGGCGAAGGCGGCCUGCUGGGCUUUUACUGACGCUGAGGCUCGAAAGUGUGGGGAGCAAACAGGAUUAGAUACCC